GACGAACGCUGGCGGCGUGCCUAAUACAUGCAAGUCGAACGCAGUGGGGACGGGUGAGUAACACGUGGGUAACCUCCCAUCAGAGGGGAUAACCCUUUGAAACAGGUGCUAAACCGAUACUGAUGGAUGGACCCGCGGUGCAUUAGCUAGUGGGUGAGGUAACGGCUCACCAAGGCCACGAUGCAUAGCUGGUCUGAGAGGAUGAGCAGCCACACUGGGACUGAGACACGGUCCAGACUCCUACGGGAGGCAGCAGUAGGGAAUAUUGGGCAAUGGACGAAAGCCUGAUCGAGCAAUGCCGCGUGAGUGAAGAAGGUUUUCGGAUUGUAAAACUCUUUAGGUUGAGAAGCGGUAUCUACAGAGAAAGCCCCGGCUAACUACGUGCCAGCAGCCGCGGUAAUUC
Molecule: ribosomal RNA, 403 nt
Filed under: uncultured bacterium
Lineage: Bacteria
Description: partial 16S ribosomal RNA
Rfam family: Bacterial small subunit ribosomal RNA
Source: RNAcentral